GAAACUCAAAGUAGUGGUAUUGAGAAACGCCCACUUGCUAAAUUUGGAAAAGUAAGGUAAUGGUGGAUGCUUAGACAAAGCGCUUUGGUGAAACGUGUUGGAUUCGGAUUCAGAGCAUCAGAUUUUACAAAGAAGUAGUAGAAAGACUGUAGAUUAUGGAAGGGUAUUAGAGUCAAAAUUCCCAGCUUUUGUCCCAGUAUUUGUCCCAGUGUUUGUCCUGGUAAAUGUCCCGGUAAAUGUCCCGGUACACGUCCCGGUACGCCUUUUUCCUGUGGGCGAGGUCGACCUGCCUCCCAAAUUUGAGGUGUGGUCGUCACAGCCCAGCAAUUACUGCUUGCAUCCGCUCCAGUUCUUUGCCCCAGCAAGUGUCCCGGUAUGUGUCCCAGUAAGUGUCCCGGUUUGUGUCCCAGUAAGUGUCCCGGUAUGUGUCCCAGUGAUAAAACGCAAAACUUCACGAGAUUAGUGCAGCAAGUCCUAGAGUAACUUCUAUGAAGAGGAACACCAAGAAUAUCUGUCACCAACCGACGGAAACACUCUUGAACUGGACUGCAUUCCUCUAGAACGACUUUAAUACCACCCAUUUCAAGUGCUGUUUCAUACUCCUUUGUACUCCAAUCUAUUAAACAUUAUAACUUUAAA
Molecule: long non-coding RNA, 639 nt
Organism: Halichondria panicea
Lineage: Eukaryota; Metazoa; Porifera; Demospongiae; Suberitida; Halichondriidae
Exons: 2
Source: RefSeq, a predicted model, not a curated record